UACGUAGGUGGCAAGCGUUGUCCGGAAUUAUUGGGCGUAAAGCGCGCGCAGGCGGUCCUUUAAGUCUGAUGUGAAAGCCCUCGGCUCAACCGAGGAGGGUCAUUGGAAACUGGAGGACUUGAGUGCAGAAGAGGAAAGUGGAAUUCCAAGUGUAGCGGUGAAAUGCGUAGAGAUUUGGAGGAACACCAGUGGCGAAGGCGACUUUCUGGUCUGUAACUGACGCUGAGGCGCGAAAGCGUGGGGAGCAAACAGG
Molecule: ribosomal RNA, 253 nt
Filed under: uncultured bacterium
Lineage: Bacteria
Also listed under: 1 other name
Description: partial 16S ribosomal RNA
Rfam family: Bacterial small subunit ribosomal RNA
Source: RNAcentral